GGGUGUAGCUCAGUGGUAGAAUGCUUGUCUAGCAUGCAUGAGGCACUGGGUUUGAUCCUCAACAUCACA
Molecule: transfer RNA, 69 nt
Filed under: Marmota monax (woodchuck)
Lineage: Eukaryota; Metazoa; Chordata; Mammalia; Rodentia; Sciuridae
Description: tRNA.Ala
Source: RNAcentral